GGCAGAAAUAGGGCCCGGGCCCGCGGCUGCUGCUCGCCCGGCUGCUGCCCAGGGGCUGCCCCGAGGCAGAGCUCCCGCCAAGGCCUGAUGUGCCGGGAGCAGCGCCCGGCGGCUGCGAGGGAGCGGCGAGCUCGCUGGGGACCGAGCCGGAGGGGGAGGAGGUCUGCUGCCGCCGCAGCCUGGCGCAGGUAACGGCCCGGUGGUCCCUGGUCAGCCGGCGAGCCUGCAGAAGCAACGGCAAGAAGCCCCAGGAAAAGAUUCCCAAAGGCUCCAGGAGAGUUUCGGUUGUGGCCAAGGCGACAGACCUGGACUGAAUCUGAGGAAGCAAAGGAGCCUGCAGGUCCUGUGGCACAAGGCCUGAAGUACUGGCACUGCAGUGACAGCUGCUCGGAGACCACGCCGAGCUUUGCGCCUUGGCACGCGUGACCUGUUCAAAAGCGUGGGUGCACAGGCAGUAUGGCAGCCAGGCUGUACUGCAGAGGAAGUGUGUUUCAUGGCUUUGGCUAAAUUUCAUUAAAAUAUGUCCUUUUUAAUGGCAGACUUGCUAGAAGCCCAUAUUUAAGGACGGUUGGUUUCUCUUACUUGUAGAGAUGAUCACGGAUCACUUGGGAAAUAUACAUUAACAAAGCAUGUUGCAAGACUUCUUGCUUUCUGCGCUUUUCUUCUGGUUUUGGUAUAUGUUGGAUUUCACUAUCCAGUAACAACAACAGGCAUUUUUACAAACAAAAGCAAAUGAACAAAACCAGAGCUGUAGAAAUGGAAACACUGCAUCGGGUAGGACAACAGCUGGGCUUUUUAAACAGCUAGCCUUCAUCACCCCUGCUCGUGUAUCACCUAGAUGACACUACGGAGGUCUGCUGUUGUAACCAACAGUGUAAUAUUUACAAUGUUGAAGUAGGAAUGUUAAAUGGGAUUUGUUUUCUUUAAGUAGCCUAAAUACUCCUCAUCAUUCAUAGGUAUGAUGUAUCUCGCCACAAAGAAACACUUGUCAACUUUUAGGAAGCAAUAAAUAAGUGUCAAUGACAGAACUCCAAAAUGAACUCUUAGUUGUGUUUACUUUUUAGGAUUAAAAGGUGUGGUAAUACAAUCAAGGAAAAAUACUUUAACUUGGCUAAGAAGGAAUCAAUUUGGUCUUCAAUUGCUUGGGCAGAAGAGUACUAAAUAACUAUACCAUUCUCCAAAAAGGCAAGACUACUUAAAAAAUGUAAUCCUGCUGUUAAGAAGAUUGGGAAAAAACAUUGCAAGGGAUUGUCAUGCCACUGGGCACCACAGAACCUGCUCUUGUCUAACCAGGUUUCCUUUAAUUAAUGUAGAAGCUUUUGCAAUGUCAAAGGAGUUAUCUAAAGCAUACAGAAAGAAAUGUUUUUUUUUUUCUUGCGACUCACUACCUUUUGUGACUGAAGCUAUUGUUUAAUGGGAUUUGAAGCUGAAAAUCCAGAAAGCAGAUUUUCUAAACAUCAAGAUAGCAAUUUAAGGCCCUGCAGUGUAAACAGAAGCACAGCUUAAACUGUUCAAUGUUUGUAACACUAGUAUCUUCUAAUAAAUUCUCCCCCUGCAGAAGCAGAUUGAUUAUCAGACCAGUGACCAAGAAGAUACUUGAUAUAAAGUUGCUGAAAAACAUUAACUGUGGAGGACUGCAAACUUUGCUUUCAGAAGUGAUAACCAUCUGUUCUUUCUAUUGAGCAGAUAGAUUCGUAGGUGUUCGGUACUUCUGCAGAGGUGCCUUGUCAAGUGACUUGCCCGGGAAAUUAACUUUGCAGUUACUCCUUUGGAAAUACACUGGGGCUGAAGGUCCAGCCCGUAGCCUCGAAUGAUGGCAGAUUUUCACCGAUUAUUCAGUAGUUCCUGCAAAGCUGUCUUCUUUCAUUUGGUAGAAAAUUCACAACUUCAGCAGGUGAGCAUUCACUCGAAUGAGCAACAAGCAACUCCGUCACAAAAUUCUGAAUCAAAAGUUGAAAGGUAAAACCUGAAGUUAUCUCUAACUGUAAUAAUUCAGAUGGGGUUUAACAAAGAAGCUUGCAUAAAACUGUAGUUGUGCUGUAACUACCCAAAUUCUUGAUGCAGCUGUUAACAACCAGAAUAUACUGUUCCUAAUCCAUUGCAGAGGAACAAAACUGCUCAUGCAGUGAGAGGCAAUGACUUAAACAUCACUGUGGAGCAUCAGACAAUGAAGGGUAUUAUAUAAAAAUAAUCUCUUUAUUGUGAUCUUUUUUUCCAUUUACCUGACAAUGUUAUUUCUUAAGAAUAAAUAUUAACAGGUGAAGGCAUCUCUGCUGAGCCUACAAUUUCAUGUUUCUUGCAGUAGCAGUGCUGUCAUAACCAACUUCUUCCCCGGCUGCUUGUCCCUGCCUUACACUGGGGGUCUUUCUGGGCAGCACAUGGGCGUGCCAGGCCAUGCUGCCCACCAGAUGGGUGGCUGCCCCAGUGGAGUCACCGCUGCCCACCCUCUUCACCCUGGAUGUUGCCAGUGGCAGCACCGGCUUCAGUAAGCCUCCUCGCUGCUCUUUUCUGCCCUUGCACAAUCCCUGAGUUGUCUGAAACCCUCUGCAGAGCUAGAAUAGGGAACAGAUUUGACAGAAAAAUACCAUUUAUUAAGACUGGUUGGUUUUCAGUGAAAUCAGUUCAGUUGAGCCCAUUCAACACACAACUGAGUAAACAUCACAUUCUCCAAACAGUGGA
Molecule: long non-coding RNA, 2679 nt
Organism: Tyto alba (common barn owl)
Lineage: Eukaryota; Metazoa; Chordata; Aves; Strigiformes; Tytonidae
Exons: 2
Source: RefSeq, a predicted model, not a curated record